Aegilops tauschii subsp. strangulata is the source of this 1554-nucleotide non-coding RNA. The record is from RefSeq and is a predicted model, not a curated record. NCBI's taxonomy places the organism in Eukaryota, Viridiplantae, Streptophyta, Magnoliopsida, Poales, Poaceae.
GACUAAUUGGCUUAAUACGUUUUCCAGAGAUGCUGUUAACAGGUUGUGUUGCUGUUUCAGGCAUCUUUGAGCAUGCAAGGGGGCUCUUAACUGCACUUGGUGUGGAUGGAGACAUCAGAGGUGACUAGAAGCAUAUCAAACGGCAUUUAAAACGGUGAGACUCUGUUUACGUGGCUUCUAUGCAGAUGUUAAUCGGCAUGCUCUUGUUUUGUUGGUGACAGCGCCAUGGUUCUCAAGAUCAAAAUGGAGAAGUGGCUGAGGGUACUGAUACUGAUGAGGAGGAUGACUUUGAUUGGGCGGCGGGAGAAUCGUCACGGAGCGACUGGGGAGAGAAGUACCCAACAUCGGUUGGGCUGUAUCAUGUAGAGCCUUCCGAGCAUGACAUUUCAAAAUUCUAUGUAGGCAUGGUAGGCUGUGGCGAGUGGCGACAAUGUUCUAGAGAAGAAGUGGUUCAAGCACUAUCAUCCGAGACUAGCUGUGGCGUCUGGCCAGGACCUGAAGGACGAGCUAACUCCUUGUGGCGAGCUGACACUGAAUCUGUGGACAUGCAUACAAAGGAUGCUAAGCAAGAAGGAUAAGAUCAUGUACAAGGGGUGGCUAGACAGAUUCAGAGGCUUCUUUGAUCCCCGUUUUGUGGGACGAUGAAGACAAGGACUGGGAGUACAUCUACAUGAUGAUGGACUGCGAAAAAAUGGGCUAUAGAAUCGACUGGCUUAAAAAGUUGAUGUUCCUGGUGAAUUUCAUGGAUUGCUGGUCGGUGUAUAUCCUGGAAAAGGAUAGGAAGAUUGUAAUGGUGCUUGAUCCAACUGAGAGUCCGAGACAUAUCCAGAAGAUGAGAUGAAGAUCAAGCACGAGCCGCUGGCAAAGAAGUUUCAGAAAAGGUUCUGCAACCUGUUCAAUGACAUGUAUGGUGCUGGAUUGGUAGAGAUGACUUGGUGAUCUUUUGUGUAUCCUUUGGAGGCGCAGCACGAGCCAUGCAGUAGGUCAUUGCACCUUCAUCAUUGCCUUAGCGGCAGCUCGGUCUGGGUGAUCAAAAACUGUGCCCUUUAAACUCAUACGGUGUGCCUCUGUUGUGGUUUGCAUGGAAGACAAGGGUGUCUAUGUUGUGCGCUACGUCCUGAACUUUACUGGUCUAUACCUACGAUCAACUUUGAGCGAGGGCCAGAUUCAGCAGCUACGGAAGAAGAUUGCAUAUGAGGUGGCGAUCACGAGGGGUAACAAAAGAGAGCUUCUGGAUUUCAUGUGCGAGGAGAUAGCUGACUGAAGAUGGAGUGGUCGUACUUGCAGUCUGCGUACGUACAGCCCGGCAAGAUCUUUUGGUUGUGCGUCAAGUAUGUCGUUAGGCACUGGGGUUUAAGUUCUGGAGUCAUUUUGCGAUGCGAGCGAAAGAACUACUGCAGAUUAUUAGUUUGGACACCUAUGGUAAUGUGUUGUGUUUCAGGCAAUGGGCCUGCGUGAAUGUAGGAUUAAGUACGGAGAUGUGAUGACUUGUCUGUUUGUUUGCAAAUUGCUAUGUCAGAUGAAAUGAACUAAGUAUGGUCAUGUUGGACAGUA